UACGUAGGUGACGAGCGUUAUCCGGAUUUACUGGGCGUAAAGCGCUUGUAGGUGGUCUUGUAAGUUGGGCGUGAAAACACCGGGCUUAACUCGGUGACGCCGUCCAAUACUGCGAGGCUGGAGGAUGUCAGAGGAAGGUGGAAUUCCUGGUGUAGUGGUGAAAUGCGUAGAUAUCAGGAGGAACACCCGUGGCGAAGGCGGCCUUCUGGGGCAUUCCUGACACUGAGAAGCGAAAGCUAGGGGAGCAAACAGG
RNAcentral lists this ribosomal RNA (253 nucleotides) under uncultured bacterium. Its description in RNAcentral is "partial 16S ribosomal RNA". It matches the Rfam family "Bacterial small subunit ribosomal RNA", at positions 524 to 776 of the family's 1533-position model. The record is from RNAcentral.